GACAUCCAGAGAAUUUAGCAGAGAUUGCUUUUAGUGCCUUCGGGAACUCUGAGACAGGUGCUGCAUGGCUGUCGUCAGCUCGUGUUGUGAAAUGUUGGGUUAACGUCCGCAACGAGCGCAACCCUUAUCCUUUGUUGCCAGCACGUAAUGGUGGGAACCCAAAGGAGACUGCCGGUGAUAAACCGGAGGAAGGUGGGGAUGACGUCAAGUCAUCAUGGCCCUUACGAGUAGGGCUACACACGUGCUACAAUGGCGCAUACAAAGAGAAGCGACCUCGCGAGAGCAAGCGGACCUCAUAAAGUGCGUCGUAGUCCGGAUUGGAGUCUGCAACUCGACUCCAUGAAGUCGGAAUCGCUAGUAAUCGUAAAUCAGAAUGUUACGGUGAAUACGUUCCCGGGCCUUGUACACACCGCCCGUCACACCAUGGGAGUGGGUUGCAAAAGAAGUAGAUAGCUUAACCUUCGGGAGGGCGUUUACCACUUUGUGAUUCAUGACUGGGGUGAAGUCGUAACAAGGUAGGCGUAGUGCU
This 529-nucleotide ribosomal RNA is filed under the name uncultured bacterium. RNAcentral describes it as "bacterial SSU rRNA". It matches the Rfam family "Bacterial small subunit ribosomal RNA", at positions 983 to 1509 of the family's 1533-position model. The record is from RNAcentral.